This 497-nucleotide ribosomal RNA is filed under the name uncultured bacterium. Its description in RNAcentral is "partial 16S ribosomal RNA". It matches the Rfam family "Bacterial small subunit ribosomal RNA", at positions 28 to 507 of the family's 1533-position model. The record is from RNAcentral.
GACGAACGCUGGCGGCGUGCCUAAUACAUGCAAGUUGAGCGCUGAAGGUUGGUACUUGUACCCACUGGAUGAGCAUCUAACGUGUGAGUAACGCGUUGGGAAUCUGCCUUUGAGCGGGGGACCACAUUUGGAAACGAAUGCUAAUACCGCAUAAAAACUUUAUACACAAUUUUUAAGUUUGAAAGAUGCAAUUGCAUCACUCAAAGAUGAUCCCGCGUUGUAUUAGCUAGUUGGUGAGGUAAAGGCUCACCAAGGCGAUGAUACAUAGCCGACCUGAGAGGGUGAUCGGCCACAUUGGGACUGAGACACGGCCCAAACUCCUACGGGAGGCAGCAGUAGGGAAUCUUCGGCAAUGGACGAAAGUCUGACCGAGCAACGCCGCGUGAGUGAAGAAGGGUUUCGGAUCGUAAAACUCUGUUGGUAGAGAAGAACGUUGGUGAGAGUGGAAAGCUCAUCAAGUGACGGUAACUAACCAGAAAGGGACGGCUAACUACGUG